Molecule: long non-coding RNA, 632 nt
Organism: Pseudopipra pipra
Lineage: Eukaryota; Metazoa; Chordata; Aves; Passeriformes; Pipridae
Exons: 3
Source: RefSeq, a predicted model, not a curated record
UUUCAUCUAUGGUUGUGCUGAACUGUUGGACUUGCCAUUUGGUUUUUUUUUAAUCAGAUCCAGGGAUCUAGAUGACAAUGCUUAAAAAAAAAGGGGACAAUGUGUUACUUGGAAUCCACACCAAACUCCUCAAAACAGAUGAGUGGGCUAAUUUGACUGUCCAUUACAGAGUGAACAUCAGCAUGAGAAACAUCCAGUGUGACCCAUGGGCUUCAGGAUACUGGUACAUCUACAAGCACCUGUAAGCAAAAGCAGCAUGAGCAUCUUACCGAGCUAUUCAGGCACCUUUCCAACUUCAUGCAUACUCUUAGGAACCUAAAAUUAAUUUCCAGGUUGAACUCAAGCAAGGAGCAGCCUUGGCUGCUGGAUCAAUUGUCUUGCCACAGACAGUGGUUCGUUCCUGGUCAUUGUUCUUCUUAGAGGAUUUCAGCAUUUUCCACUCAUGCGACUAAUGUCAUAUUAGGGACUUUUGGAGCUUCUAAGACAAGGUUUGGUUUGGAUACACAUCUAUGGCAGGUUGUAUACAAUCAGAAAGGCAACACAGAAGUGGAAAACUCCUGUUCUGGCCAAAACUAAGAGAAAUUCACAAUAAAAAUACUUUUCCAUCUGAAAAUUCAGAAUUAUCUAAUUAA